CGAAACGCGUCUACCACAGACAACUGUAGCCUACAGUCUCAUUGUGGUUAGUUAGUGUUAAAGAUUGUGUUAAAGAUUGAUUAAUGAAGCGAAGUUUUGUAUUUAUAGAAUUUAUAGUCUCUCCGUAAGAACCCCCUCCCCCCUUUUGUCUCCUGUCAGUGAGAUCAGCAUCUCAGAAAUACACACAAAAAUCGCUUGCUACUCACUUCAUCGUUCGUAAGUGGAACAAGAGCUGUGUCAACAAGAGAUGUCCAUUUCAUCAUCAAGUCUCCAGUGAAAUGAUUCAUCCAGUGCAGUUGGAUGUCACGUGAGUCUACAAAAAAGGCCCAUUCGGAGAUGAGAAGGUCAUCCUUUUACAGUGUUAAUAGAGAGGUUCUUCGUUCAGUGAUGAUUGACAGGUAAGUGAUCUUCUCAAGGUUCAACCCAUCAACUGAAUGACAGCUACUGAUCAAAAAUGAUAUGAAUGGAUGAAAAUGUCCAAAAGGAUGAAGACAGGAAGUGAUGCUGCAAACAAUCCUGCGCCAAUGAUGAACGGGAUGCCUGAAAUUAUAAAAAAGGAAAAAUCUUCAGUUUCAAAUCAUGUGAUAGAAAUGUAAUUUUUGUAUUUAUAUCAGUUUUAUACUCUGGAGUUUUUUGUAUCAUUUUCUAUAGGUAUUGAUUUAAUAUUUCUAAAAAUGUGAAGUGGUUCAACCAUGUUUUCCAUCAUAUUUAUCAAGAAGAUCUUUCCUAACAAUUUCCUGUUUUCAACACAAAAGUUUUCAUACAUUAAUAUUUGAAAACAAA
Megalobrama amblycephala (Wuchang bream) is the source of this 783-nucleotide long non-coding RNA. RefSeq lists it as uncharacterized. Lineage: Eukaryota; Metazoa; Chordata; Actinopteri; Cypriniformes; Xenocyprididae. The transcript is spliced from 4 exons. The record is from RefSeq and is a predicted model, not a curated record.